RNAcentral lists this non-coding RNA (29 nucleotides) under Mus musculus (house mouse). The record is from RNAcentral. Lineage: Eukaryota; Metazoa; Chordata; Mammalia; Rodentia; Muridae.
GAGAACCUGAACCAUAGGGAUAGGGACCA